RNAcentral lists this ribosomal RNA (463 nucleotides) under uncultured bacterium. RNAcentral describes it as "partial 16S ribosomal RNA". It matches the Rfam family "Bacterial small subunit ribosomal RNA", at positions 28 to 507 of the family's 1533-position model. The record is from RNAcentral.
GACGAACGCUGGCGGCGUGCUUAACACAUGCAAGUCGAACGGUGAACCUCUUCGGAGGGGAUCAGUGGCGAACGGGUGAGUAACACGUGGGCAACCUGCCCCCGGCUCUGGGAUAACUCCAAGAAAUUGGGGCUAAUACCGGAUGUUCACCGCUUCCCGCAUGGGUGGUGGUGGAAAGGGUUUCCGGCUGGGGAUGGGCCCGCGGCCUAUCAGCCUGUUGGUGGGGUAGUGGCCUACCAAGGCGACGACGGGUAGCCGGCCUGAGAGGGUGACCAGCCACACUGGGACUGCGACACGGCCCAGACUCCUACGGGGGGCAGCAGUGGGGAAUAUUGCGCAAUGGGCGGAAGCCUGACGCAGCGACGCCGCGUGGGGGAUGCCGGCCUUCGGGUUGUAAACCUCUUUCAGCAGGGACGAAGCGCAAGUGACGGUACCUGCAGAAGAAGCACCGGCCAACUACGUG